This 492-nucleotide ribosomal RNA is filed under the name uncultured bacterium. Its description in RNAcentral is "partial 16S ribosomal RNA". It matches the Rfam family "Bacterial small subunit ribosomal RNA", at positions 29 to 507 of the family's 1533-position model. The record is from RNAcentral.
AGUGAACGCUGGCGGUAGGCCUAACACAUGCAAGUCGAACGGCAGCACCGUAAGAGCUUGCUCUUACGGGUGGGGAGUGGGGGACGGGUGAGGAAUAGAUCGGAAUCUACUUUUUCGUGGGGGAUAACGUAGGGAAACUGACGCUAAUACCUCAUACGACCUACGGGUGAAAGCAGGGGAUCUUCGGACCUUGUGCGAUUGAAUGAGCCGAUGUCGGGUUAGCUAGUUGGCGGGGUAAAGGCCCACCAAGGCGACGAUCCGUAGCUGGUCUGAGAGGCUGAUCGGCCACACUGGGACUGAGACACGGUCCAGACUCCUACGGGAGGCAGCAGUAGGGAAUAUUGGGCAAUGGACGCAAGCCUGAUCGAGCGAUGCCGCGUGGGUGAAGAAGGCCUUCGGAUUGUAAAACCCUGUUGUUGGUAAAGACCAGCCUCACGUUUAUACCCCGGUGUUCUGACGGUACCCAAAGAAUAAGCACCGGCUAACUUCGUG